CCUCCUUGUUCACCUGAUCUGAACCCCAUUGAGAACCUGUGGUCCAUCAUCAAAUGUGAGAUUUACAAGGAGGGAAAACAGUACACCUCUCUGAACAGUGUCUGGGAGGCUGUGGUUGCUGCUGCACGCAAUGUUGAUGGUGAACAGAUCAAAACACUGACAGAAUCCAUGGAUGGCAGGCUUUUGAGUGUCCUUGCAAAGAAAGGUGGCUAUAUUGGUCACUGAUUUGUUUUUGUUUUGUUUUUGAAUGUCAGAAAUGUAUAUUUGUGAAUGUUGAGAUGUUAUAUUGGUUUCACUGGUAAUAAUAAAUAAUUGAAAUGGGUAUAUAUUUGUUUUUUGUUAAGUUGCCUAAUAA
Non-coding RNA from Pelobates cultripes (western spadefoot toad), 355 nucleotides. NCBI's taxonomy places the organism in Eukaryota, Metazoa, Chordata, Amphibia, Anura, Pelobatidae. The record is from the annotation of a GenBank genome assembly.